Molecule: ribosomal RNA, 253 nt
Filed under: uncultured bacterium
Lineage: Bacteria
Description: partial 16S ribosomal RNA
Rfam family: Bacterial small subunit ribosomal RNA
Source: RNAcentral
UACAGAGGUGGCAAGCGUUGUUCGGAAUUACUGGGCGUAAAGGGCGCGUAGGCGGUCUUUUAAGUCUUGUGUGAAAUCCCUCGGCUCAACUGAGGAACUGCACGGGAUACUGGAAGACUUGAGUUCGGGAGAGGGAAGCGGAAUUCCGGGUGUAGCGGUGAAAUGCGUAGAUAUCCGGAGGAACACCGAUGGCGAAGGCAAUCCCCUGGACCUGUACUGACGCUCAUGCACGAAAGCGUGGGGAGCAAACAGG